GAUGAACGCUGGCGGCGUGCCUAAUACAUGCAAGUCGAGCGAACAGACGAGGCUCUUGCUCCUUCGACGUUAGCGGCGGACGGGUGAGUAACACGUAGGUAACCUACCUAUAAGACUGGGAUAACUUCGGGAAACCGGCGCUAAUCCCGGGUUAUAUUUCGAACCGCAUGGUUCGAUAGUGAAAGAUGGCUUUGCUAUCACUUAUAGAUAGACCUGCGCCGUAUUAGCUAGUUGGUAAGGUAACGGCUUACCAAGGCAACGAUACGUAGCCGACCUGAGAGGGUGAUCGGCCACACUGGAACUGAGACACGGUCCAGACUCCUACGGGAGGCAGCAGUAGGGAAUCUUCCGCAAUGGGCGAAAGCCUGACGGAGCAACGCCGCGUGAGUGAUGAAGGUCUUCGGAUCGUAAAACUCUGUUAUUAGGGAAGAACAAACGUGUAAGUAACUGUGCACGUCUUGACGGUACCUAAUCAGAAAGCCACGGCUAACUACGUG
This 497-nucleotide ribosomal RNA is filed under the name uncultured bacterium. Its description in RNAcentral is "partial 16S ribosomal RNA". It matches the Rfam family "Bacterial small subunit ribosomal RNA", at positions 28 to 507 of the family's 1533-position model. The record is from RNAcentral.